CCUGUCCCAGGUGUACCCCAGGUGUGUGUUACCUGUCCCAGCUGUGUGUUACCUGUCCCAGGUGUGCACAGGUGUGUCUGUACCUGUCCCAGGUGUGUCUGUACCUGCCCCAGGUGUGUCUGUACCUGUCCAGGUGUGUCUGUACCUGUCCCAGGUGUGUGUUACCUGUCCCAGGUGUGUGUUACCUGUCCCAGGUGUGUCCAGGUGUGUCUCACCUGAGCGGCUGCCGGCAGUGGGCCGCUGUCAGCACCCAGCGGUCGCUCACCAGGCUCCCCCCGCACAGGAUCUGCCCCCGUUUGGUCAGGGCCACCUGGAACGGCCGCUGGGCCACCGAGCACGGCCGGCCCCCGAUGAUCCGCGACUCGUCCUCCUCGGGGACUGCAGGCAAUUAAUAACAGUUAUUAAUAAUUAAUAAUUGAUAAUUAAUGAUGAUCCGCGACUCGUCCUCCUCGGGGACUGCAGGCAAUUAAUAACAAUUAUUAAUUAUUAAUAAUUAAUAAUUAAUAAUUAAUAAUUAAUAAUAAUAAUUAAUAAUUGAUAAUUGAUAAUUAAUGAUGAUCCGCGACUCGUCCUCCUCGGGGACUGCAGGGAAUUAAUAACAAUAAUUAAUAAUUAAUAAUUGAUAAUUGAUAAUUGAUAAUUGAUAAUUGUUAUUAAUAAUUAAUAAUUGAUAAUUAAUGAUGAUCCGCGACUCGUCCUCCUCGGGGACUGCAGGGAAUUAAUAACAGUUAUUAAUAAUUAAUAAUUGAUAAUUAAUGAUGAUCCGCGACUCGUCCUCCUCGGGGACUGCAAGGCAAUUAAUAACAGAUUAUUAAUAAUUGAUAAUUAAUGAUGAUCCGCGACUCGUCCUCCUCGGGGACUGCAGGGAAUUAAUAACAAUAAUUAAUAAUUAAUAAUUGAUAAUUGAUAAUUGAUAAUUGAUAAUUGAUAAUUGAUAAUUAAUGAUGAUCCGCGACUCGUCCUCCUCAGGGACUGCAAAGCAAUUAAUAACAGUUAUUAAUAAUUAAUAAUUGAUAAUUAAUGAUGAUCCGCGACUCGUCCUCCUCGGGGACUGCAAGGCAAUUAAUAACAAUUAUUAAUAAUUGAUAAUUAAUGAUGAUCCGCGACUCGUCCUCCUCGGGGACUGCAGGGAAUUAAUAACAAUUAUUAAUAAUUAAUAAUUAAUAAUUAAUAAUUAAUAAUUAAUAAUUAAUAAUGAAUAAUUAAUAAUUAAUAAUUAAUGAUGAUCCGCGACUCAUCCUCCUCGGGGACUGCAAGGCAAUUAAUAACAGUUAUUAAUAAUUAAUAAUUGAUAAUUAAUGAUGAUCCGCGACUCGUCCUCCUCCGGAACUGCAGGGAAUUAAUAAUUAAUAAUUGAUAAUGAUCUGUGACUCAUCCUCGGGAACUGCGGGAAUGGGGAAUUAAUAAUUAAU
Molecule: long non-coding RNA, 1412 nt
Filed under: Cyanistes caeruleus (blue tit)
Lineage: Eukaryota; Metazoa; Chordata; Aves; Passeriformes; Paridae
Description: lncRNA (ENSCCEG00000005199.1)
Source: RNAcentral